This 441-nucleotide ribosomal RNA is filed under the name uncultured bacterium. RNAcentral's name for it is "partial 16S ribosomal RNA". It matches the Rfam family "Bacterial small subunit ribosomal RNA", at positions 338 to 795 of the family's 1533-position model. The record is from RNAcentral.
CCUACGGGUGGCAGCAGUGGGGAAUAUUGCACAAUGGGGGGAACCCUGAUGCAGCAACGCCGCGUGGGUGAAGAGGUACUCCGGUAUGUAAAGCUCUAUCAGCAGGGAAGAAGAAAGACGGUACCUGACUAAGAAGCCCCGGCUAACUACGUGCCAGCAGCCGCGGGAAUACGUAGGGGGCAAGCGUUAUCCGGAUUUACUGGGUGUAAAGGGAGCGUAGACGGGUGUGCAAGUCUGAAGUUAAAGUCCAGGGCUCAACCCUGGGACUGCUUUGGAAACUGUGGAGCUAGAGUGCUGGAGAGGUAAGUGGAAUUCCUAGUGUAGCGGUGAAAUGCGUAGAUAUUAGGAGGAACACCAGUGGCGAAGGCGGCUUACUGGACAGUAACUGACGUUGAGGCUCGAAAGCGUGGGGAGCAAACAGGAUUAGAUACCCGGGUAGUC